RNAcentral lists this ribosomal RNA (1023 nucleotides) under Resinoporia cincta. RNAcentral describes it as "SSU rRNA". It matches the Rfam family "Eukaryotic small subunit ribosomal RNA", at positions 73 to 1104 of the family's 1831-position model. The record is from RNAcentral. Lineage: Eukaryota; Fungi; Basidiomycota; Agaricomycetes; Polyporales; Adustoporiaceae.
ACUAUACGGUGAAACUGCGAAUGGCUCAUUAAAUCAGUUAUCGUUUAUUUGAUAGUACCUUACUACUUGGAUAACCGUGGUAAUUCUAGAGCUAAUACAUGCUAAAAACCCCAACUUCGGAAGGGGUGUAUUUAUUAGAUAAAAAACCAACGCCCUUCGGGGCUCCUUGGUGAUUCAUAAUAACUAAACGAAUCGCAUGGCCUUGCGCCGGCGAUGGUUCAUUCAAAUUUCUGCCCUAUCAACUUUCGAUGGUAGGAUAGUGGCCUACCAUGGUAUCAACGGGUAACGGGGAAUUAGGGUUCUAUUCCGGAGAGGGAGCCUGAGAAACGGCUACCACAUCCAAGGAAGGCAGCAGGCGCGCAAAUUACCCAAUCCCGACACGGGGAGGUAGUGACAAUAAAUACUGAUACAGGGCUCUUUUGGGUCUUGUAAUUGGAAUGAGUACAAUUUAAAUCCCUUAACGAGGAACAAUUGGAGGGCAAGUCUGGUGCCAGCAGCCGCGGUAAUUCCAGCUCCAAUAGCGUAUAUUAAAGUUGUUGCAGUUAAAAAGCUCGUAGUUGAACCUUGGGCCUGGCUGGCCGGUCCGCCUCACCGCGUGUACUGGUCCGGCCGGGCCUUUCCUUCUGGGGAGCCGCAUGCCCUUCACUGGGCGUGUCGGGGAACCAGGACUUUUACUUUGAAAAAAUUAGAGUGUUCAAAGCAGGCCUUUGCUCGAAUACAUUAGCAUGGAAUAAUAGAAUAGGACGUGCGGUUCUAUUUUGUUGGUUUCUAGGACCGCCGUAAUGAUUAAUAGGGAUAGUCGGGGGCAUCAGUAUUCAAUUGUCAGAGGUGAAAUUCUUGGAUUUAUUGAAGACUAACUACUGCGAAAGCAUUUGCCAAGGAUGUUUUCAUUAAUCAGUGAACGAAAGUUAGGGGAUCGAAGACGAUCAGAUACCGUCGUAGUCUUAACCAUAAACUAUGCCGACUAGGGAUCGGGCGAUGUUAUCAUUUUGACUCGCUCGGCACCUUACGAGAAAUCAAAGU